UACGGAGGGUGCGAGCGUUGUCCGGAAUCACUGGGCGUAAAGGGCGCGUAGGCGGCGCGGAUAGCGGCGGUGAAAGCCCGGAGCUCAACUCCGGGUCGGCCGUCGAUACUUCCGGGCUUGAGCACUGUAGAGGCAGAUGGAAUUCCGGGUGUAGCGGUGAAAUGCGUAGAGAUCGGAAAGAACACCAACGGCGAAAGCACUCAUGCUGGGCCGACACUGACACUGAGAGACGAAAGCUAGGGGAGCGAAUGGG
This 253-nucleotide ribosomal RNA is filed under the name uncultured bacterium. Its description in RNAcentral is "partial 16S ribosomal RNA". It matches the Rfam family "Bacterial small subunit ribosomal RNA", at positions 524 to 776 of the family's 1533-position model. The record is from RNAcentral.